UCUUUCGGCUUCUUGAGGAUGUGUGCCAGUGAAAAUUUUCUAUAUUAUUAAUAAUAUUCACUGUCACUUAUCUGGUCCUCAAGGACAAUAUAUUGCUUUAUAAAGUCUCAAAUAUUUUAGUUCUAUUAUAUAACAUUAAAUUUGUUGACUUUCAGUUAUCAGUUCAGUGUUGAUCAUAAUUAUAUUACUUAUGCAAAAUCUCAAAUAUUUUAAUUCUGUAAAGUAGCACCAGUUUUAUUGACAAAUGUCAUAAACUCUAAUAUCAUAAUAUUUUGUCAAAAGGAUUUACUGGUUAGCUAAAUGCAAGACACUCAACCUGGGUCUUCAUUGUUUCUUGAAUUACUGAGCUACGAAACUUAAGCUGCUUUUAUUUUUCUUCAGGCAAGCUAAAGAUGUUGUUAAAGCUAUAAAAAAGCGCUUGGGAAGUAAAAAUCCAACAGCUCAGCUAUUUGCAGUAACAUUGCUGGAGAUGCUACUGAACAAUAUAGGAGAUUCUGUUCACAAGCAGGUUGUAGAGACUGGAAUUCUCCCAGUUCUUGUAAAGAUAGUAAAGAAAAAGUCAGAUAUACCUGUAAGAGAGAAAGUAUUUCUUCUUCUAGAUGCUGCACAGACAUCUGUUGGUGGGGCUUCUGGGAGGUAUCCUCAAUACUAUUCUGCAUACUACGAGUUGGUGGUAGGUACCUUUUUGUUCUUUUUUAUGUUAUGGGAUAGUGGUGGGUCUUUUAGAAAUGAAUUUUGCAUCAUCAACUCCAUUUUGUUAAUUAGGCUCCAGGUACUUGUAAUUUUGUCAUUGAUUCUGGAGAUUAAGACAAAAAAGUACCUGAUAAUUGAAGCUGACUGAUAAUAGCUACAUUAUCACUAAAGAUAAAUGAGGCUUUUGUGAAGUUGAUUGAAAAUUGUGUAGGAGAAA
Long non-coding RNA from Ipomoea triloba (trilobed morning glory), 910 nucleotides. RefSeq lists it as uncharacterized. The record is from RefSeq and is a predicted model, not a curated record. The transcript is spliced from 3 exons. NCBI's taxonomy places the organism in Eukaryota, Viridiplantae, Streptophyta, Magnoliopsida, Solanales, Convolvulaceae.